CCUACGGGUGGCAGCAGUGGGGAAUAUUGGACAAUGGGCGAAAGCCUGAUCCAGCCAUGCCGCGUGUGUGAAGAAGGCCUUCGGGUUGUAAAGCACUUUCAGUGGGGAAGAAAGCCUUGGGGCUAAUACCCUCGAGGAAGGACAUCACCCACAGAAGAAGCACCGGCUAACUCCGUGCCAGCAGCCGCGGUAAUACGGAGGGUGCGAGCGUUAAUCGGAAUUACUGGGCGUAAAGCGCGCGUAGGCGGUCUGAUAAGCCGGUUGUGAAAGCCCCGGGCUCAACCUGGGAACGGCAUCCGGAACUGUCAGGCUAGAGUGCAGGAGAGGAAGGUAGAAUUCCCGGUGUAGCGGUGAAAUGCGUAGAGAUCGGGAGGAAUACCAGUGGCGAAGGCGGCUUUCUGGACUGACACUGACGCUGAGGUGCGAAAGCGUGGGUAGCAAACAGGAUUAGAUACCCCGGGUAGUC
RNAcentral lists this ribosomal RNA (466 nucleotides) under Vreelandella stevensii. Its description in RNAcentral is "partial 16S ribosomal RNA". It matches the Rfam family "Bacterial small subunit ribosomal RNA", at positions 338 to 795 of the family's 1533-position model. Lineage: Bacteria; Pseudomonadati; Pseudomonadota; Gammaproteobacteria; Oceanospirillales; Halomonadaceae. The record is from RNAcentral.